This 40-nucleotide transfer RNA is filed under the name Imperata cylindrica. RNAcentral describes it as "partial tRNA-His". The record is from RNAcentral. Lineage: Eukaryota; Viridiplantae; Streptophyta; Magnoliopsida; Poales; Poaceae.
GCGGAUGUAGCCAAGUGGAUCAAGGCAGUGGAUUUGUGAU